This 3038-nucleotide long non-coding RNA is filed under the name Heterocephalus glaber (naked mole-rat). RNAcentral describes it as "lncRNA (ENSHGLG00100049664.1)". Lineage: Eukaryota; Metazoa; Chordata; Mammalia; Rodentia; Bathyergidae. The record is from RNAcentral.
CUGUGAUGGUGGUUUUGGAAAAAUCUGUGAGAAUCCUCAAUCUAGCCUCCCGUGAUGGGGUGGGGUGGGGGUCGAGAGGGUAUAUAAGUCCUGAGAGGCACCAGCAACUGUUCAGAAGCCGCAAGUACCUGAAGACAGAGUGGUCUGGAAGGUUAGGAAAGAGGAGGUAUUUCUCACUUGUCAGUGAAAAGAAGGAAGAAUACAUCUGAGACCAGGCGUCCUACAGCUUCUGUGAAAAGUCUCCAUGGUGAAGUCCAGGCUGAGGCUCGCUGGGAACAGUGCACAGUGAAUGUUGCUGUCAGCACUACCCAGAAAUCUCCUGAGCUGCAGGCUGUGGCAGGAGCAGUGCGGAGAACUCCAUGGAGAAAGCGGAGAGAGCCUUCCAAGCAGCUGACACGUUGUCAGCUCCAGAAGAGCAGAGUGGCAGGGGGGAGGGAUAGAUGGAAACCUACUGGAGCAGCCAUCCCUUAAUUAUUUUUGCAUAGAUUUCUGAAUUGUGGCUUCUUUGCAAAGAAACAAGAAAAAGAACAAAAAGGAAAUAAACGUGGUAUGCAGCCUACUAUUUCAGUGCCUGGAGUAUGCAGCUCACAGAUGAUCUCAGAACCUCAGGUUCUUUACCUUGUUGGAAAAGCCUGAAGGGCGAAAAAGAGGACAGAGACUCUGUCCUGAGCAAGUGGAGUGAUUGGUGGUGAAAAUCAGAUGGAUGCCCUGUAGCCCUGCGUCGGGAGGGUAAAUGUGUCUGAGAUGAGCACAUCCUCAGGAAGACAUUUGCACUUAUUCCUUGAAUGGGUUACAAGCUAUUUCUCUUCUUUCACAGCGGCCAAGUAUUGAGCCAAACCUGUAAUCAGAAAAUGUUGAUGCGCUGUCAGAUGGAGAAGGUUAUUUUUGUGUGUCUCAGUUGCCACAUUCACUAAUAUGUUCCUGUACAAAUGGGCAUAGGAGACUGUAGACGGUGCCGAUGCCAAGUUCAAAUUUGUAACUUUGUCCUCAAGCGGUGGUGGUGAACCUAUGGCACGCGCACCGCAGCCGGCUGUUUGUUAUCACUGAAAGCUCUAAAAUGUCACCAUCCCUGUCCUAGAGGCACAGUGGGAAGGAGAGCAGCAAGUCAGGAAGAAGCUGUUGUGUUAUUUGUCCUGCGGUUCUUGUGUGAAUGGCUGGGCCAAGCCAGCAGCCACCGUCCUGCUCCUCCAUGUGCCUGCAUCCAGCUUUCUGUAGUCACAAUGCUGCCACUCCCACCUGCCGUGUGACACCCUCCUGUCCACCUCUUUGCCACUGUUACAGCCCCUGGGUGAGGCCAGUCCAUAGGUCAGCUGAAUGCACUACCUCGAGAUCCUCUUGACGUCUCUCCCUGCCUCUAGAACUUGGUCCCUUCUGUGUUUCCUCCUCCCUGUGACCAGAAUGACUUUAAUAUGAAAAUGUCCCUCCUGAUCCCUUCAAAGGUUCUCUGUGGCCUUUGGGCCUUACCUGGCCUCCUUGAAUGUGACCUGUCCCCUUCUGUGACUCCACAGGCCUUUGCACAAGCCCCCUCUCUGUCUACAGCUAGUUUCUGCUUGGUUUCAUGUGAUGAUUCCUGUGUUCCCAUCAAAACUCAGCAUCAUCGCCCUCACCUCCAUGGAGCUGAUCCUGGCUUUUAUGUCCAGAAAAUUCGUCGUGUGGGAGUUCCACUGUGUUCUCUUGACUGUCUCUGCACAUGGGACACUGAACGCUUUGAGAAGAAGACCUAUGUCUUUCAGAACUGCUGUUUCACACAUCAGGCAAAGAGCAGACAGUCGUGUAAACUUAGUGAAUGGGUGAAAUCUUAGGAACAGAAAUGGAAUGCAUGUGAAGCAACCUCACUCAUAUUCCCUGCCGUUUGUUCAAGGUCAUGUCUCAUGGUCACGCCACUCCCAGGAAGGCCGGAUACUGUUAGGGAACAUUCUGGUGGCUUAUCCCACAUUCUAUUUCUUUAAUCACAAAUACUAUGCUUCUUCAUUGGUCCAUGUCCUGAACGAUGAAAGGGGACAGUGUUUUGAAAGCCAUGACAGUCAUGGUGAUGUAUUAAAAGGAGCAUAACUUGGUGACAAGGCCAAGGAUUGUCUUGUGCCAUACAAACUGGUAUUAAACCAUCAUUAUAUAGAUUGCAAUAAGGCACCAGAGACUUACCUGGAUGUACAAAAUGGGGUUCAUGACAAGGCAGAGAACUUAGUCACAUGCCCCACAUAACCUUGACAGGACUAUUUGGACAUGAUAUGGACUAAUCAUUUGCUACUUUUCUAUUUAGAGCCCAGUAGGGUUAUUCCAGACUUUCUCUUUAGAUGGGUGAUAACUUUAUUAACCAAAUUGCAUGAUAUCAAAGCAAAGUACCCCACCUAGCAUUGCACUCAUAACCUUCCCAAUGACCAACUUAAUCUUUCCCUUAUGCAAUAGCACAUUGGUCUUUCCUUGAUUGGCCAAAGAGGGUGACCUACAUCAAACUGGCUCCACCCCCUCAUCCAUUUGGGGCCAAAAGGACAGCAUAUUACCAAUCUUUGUCUCCAGGUUACUAGCUCUGUGCCUGGUGGUUAGAUGUUAAAUAGUUUAGAUAAAGCGAUUAACAGAAUAAUCUAAUGACCAUAAACAGGAAAGUAUGUGUGGGCAACUUAAUGCAUAAGAAUUAUGUCUUAAUAAGUGAAUUAUUUGAGCAUAAAUCCAAUAUUAAUUAUCAUCAAUAAUAGAUGAAAUAUAUUGAGCAUUUACUGUGAACACCACGCUCUACUGCCUCUCCCAUUAAGUGAAGACUAAGUGUUAUAAUUAUAUUUCCUUUUUUUCUUUUCAAACUAUAAGGAACUUUAAUGGCAUAAAGUGCUCAAGUAGAACCAAGGCUAGUGUGACAAAAUAUUCCUACAUAGAAGUCCUCCCUGUUUUGUUCACAUUAAUGUAGAGUGUGCUGUGAAUAAAAACAAAACAGCAAUUCAUAAACACUUGCAAGGGACAUGAGAAAAACAGCAAGCAUGGGGCCCCAUGACAGUAAGUGGGGUAAGUGGCAGCUGACAUGGAGCUCUGGGAAGUGAAACUUGCAU